GCGCUUCGGCAGCAUGUACACUGAAGCUGGAACGAUACAGAGAAGAUUAGCGUGGCCCUUGCGCAACAAUGACACGCAAAUUCAUGAAGUGUUCCAUAUUUUU
This is a small nuclear RNA of Acomys russatus (golden spiny mouse), 103 nucleotides long. The record is from RefSeq and is a predicted model, not a curated record. NCBI's taxonomy places the organism in Eukaryota, Metazoa, Chordata, Mammalia, Rodentia, Muridae.